UGGGGAAUUUUGGACAAUGGGCGCAAGCCUGAUCCAGCAAUGCCGCGUGCAGGAUGAAGGCCUUCGGGUUGUAAACUGCUUUUGUACGGAACGAAAAGGAUGGCUCUAAUACAGCUGUCUGAUGACGGUACCGUAAGAAUAAGCACCGGCUAACUACGUGCCAGCAGCCGCGGUAAUACGUAGGGUGCAAGCGUUAAUCGGAAUUACUGGGCGUAAAGCGUGCGCAGGCGGUGUUGUAAGACAGAGGUGAAAUCCCCGGGCUCAACCUGGGAACUGCCUUUGUGACUGCAACGCUAGAGUACGGCAGAGGGGGAUGGAAUUCCGCGUGUAGCAGUGAAAUGCGUAGAUAUGCGGAGGAACACCGAUGGCGAAGGCAAUCCCCUGGGCCUGUACUGACGCUCAUGCACGAAAGCGUGGGGAGCAAACAGG
RNAcentral lists this ribosomal RNA (429 nucleotides) under uncultured bacterium. Its description in RNAcentral is "bacterial SSU rRNA". It matches the Rfam family "Bacterial small subunit ribosomal RNA", at positions 355 to 776 of the family's 1533-position model. The record is from RNAcentral.